This 460-nucleotide ribosomal RNA is filed under the name uncultured bacterium. Its description in RNAcentral is "partial 16S ribosomal RNA". It matches the Rfam family "Bacterial small subunit ribosomal RNA", at positions 338 to 795 of the family's 1533-position model. The record is from RNAcentral.
CCUACGGGAGGCAGCAGUCAGGAAUAUUGGUCAAUGGGCGCGAGCCUGAACCAGCCAAGUAGCGUGAAGGAUGACUGCCCUACGGGUUGUAAACUUCUGUUAUAAAGGAAUAAAGUGAGGCACGUGUGCCUUUUUGUGUGUACUUUAUGAAUAAGGAUCGGCUAACUCCGUGACAGCAGCCGCGGUAAUCCGGAGGAUCCGAGCGUUAUCCGGAUUUAUUGGGGUUAAAGGGAGCGUAGAUGGGUUGUUAAGUCAGUGGUGAAAGUUUGCGGCUCAACCGUAAAAUUGCAAUUGAUACUGGCAGUCUUGAGUACAGGUGAGGGAGGCGGAAUUCGUGGUGUAGCGGUGAAAUGCUUAGAUAUCACGAAGAACGCCGAUUGCGAAGGCAGCUUACUAGACUGCCACUGACAUUGAUGCUCGAAAGUGUGGGGAUCAAACAGGAUUAGAUACCCGUGUAGUC